CCCAAAUCUGCCUAAUGAGAGCAACAGACCAACUGGACACAAGCAAAACAUUUCCUGGGGUGUGAUUGUGAAGGGAGAGCCUUAUUGGAGCCCUUUGAAGCGGAGGGAGAGUGGACGGUGAGAGCCGGCUGCUUGGGCUUUUUAGGGUCGUCUGUGCGGGCGAGGCUAUUUCGAGUCACAAUAGUCGGAGGAAACGUGCUUAUAAAUGUUUCAAGAAGGGUGCAGCAUCUUAGGACGCGAGACAGAGAGCGGUGCAGAGCAGUGGCGUGCUGUCCUCUGCUGCAUUACGUUGUUUGUCAGGCCCAACGCGGAAAUCUGCAGAUUACAGACCGAGUUGAAACAGACAGUAGACCAGAUGGACAGAUAGUCCAACACACAAAAAAAAGCUACCCUCUCUCGCCAGGUUUGGUGGAGUAAGAUGAGGAAGGCAGCAGAGGGACAGAGCAGCCGGUGGAGCAGACAGACGCUUCGGUCCGGCAUCCGCAGACCUCCUCGCGGCAGCACUCCCAUACGCAUACGCUAAUGCUGCAGCAGCAGCCUGUGGGCUGCCGUCCAGUGUUGUGUGCUGUGUGUGCGGUUCAGUUCAGAGGGGUUUUCAUGUGCAUGUCUGCUGCAUUUGUGUCAUGGGAAAAAUAUUUAUGAAAUCCCCUUGGCGUCCUUCGAGGUUAAAGAAAAGGCUGGAUCACAAAAACAGGGCAAAACACUACAGAGAGGACAACUAUGUCCUAAAGGCUUAGUGGUGAAUUUUAAGUUUAAGGAAUAUUUACCAUUGAAAAUAUUUUUACCUGGCAGGAUAAUUAUCCUGCUGUACUUUGAUAAUCCUAUAUACAAUUUGUGUAGCAAAACCUUUGUCUUUAUGUAUUGCUCUCAGCUUGAUGGUUUCUCAUUCUGGUAUCAGGAGUGAAAAGACGCCCUGGCCUUGUGUAAUUCGUUCCAUCAUCCAUCCAUUUGAUAACACAAAUAAAGAACGCGAGUAAAGGAAAUCAGUUGCACCGCAAAAAUACAGCCUGCGUUUGGUUUGGUCCCAACGUUGCUUUGCUUCACAUGUAAGCACUGUCCAAUUAUUCUCUAUUGACUUUAUAGAUGUUACUUUAAAAUAAAUGUCAUACUCACAGAAAUAUGGGAAUAUGCUUCUUGUUUUGUAUUAUAAAGUGUAUAUAUAUGUAUGUAUCCACCUAGCAGACAUCGAGGGGC
Molecule: long non-coding RNA, 1194 nt
Organism: Gasterosteus aculeatus aculeatus (three-spined stickleback)
Lineage: Eukaryota; Metazoa; Chordata; Actinopteri; Perciformes; Gasterosteidae
Source: Ensembl